ACUCCUGAUGUCUGAUUUGUCUGCAAAUCUCCUUUUCCGUAGAGAUUGUGCAGUUUGGCCGAUGUACAUAGCAGAGGGGCAUUGCUGGCAUAUGAUGGCAUAUAUACAUUGGUGGACGUGCAGGUGA
Chelonoidis abingdonii (Abingdon island giant tortoise) is the source of this 127-nucleotide non-coding RNA. The record is from RefSeq and is a predicted model, not a curated record. Lineage: Eukaryota; Metazoa; Chordata; Testudines; Testudinidae.